MicroRNA precursor from Pan paniscus (pygmy chimpanzee), 96 nucleotides. The record is from Ensembl. NCBI's taxonomy places the organism in Eukaryota, Metazoa, Chordata, Mammalia, Primates, Hominidae.
UGAGGCAGGAGAAUUGCUUGAACCCAGGAAAUGGAGGCUGCAGUGAACUGAGAUCGUGCCACUGCACUCCAGCCUGGGUGACAGAGCGAGACUCCA